CUAGUCGAAAGACCAUCAGAUAAACAAUUAGCUUCGUUAGUUUCAAUUUAUUUGAUAAAUUUACUUUAUUAUCUUUGUGUUUUUUUAACAAAACUUUGAUAACUUAAUUGAUUCACAGCGCCAUUGUGCGGGAUUUUUAGUAAUAUUGUGUGUGACGCAAUUGGAAUUCGUCCUUUCCGUCGCGCUACUGUGAGUAGAACAUGUCGUAUACAUCUGAACGAAGAAACGAGGAUCAAUGGUCUGGCGACUCUAAAAAUGGUCCAAGUGAAAGUGAAUCAUCUAACUAUGGAGGGCCUCCCGGAAUGGACCCGGAUGGUGUUAUUGACAGCAACUGGGAUCAGGUGGUCGAAAGUUUUGAUGACAUGAACCUAAAGGAAGAACUUCUUCGGGGUAUCUAUGCUUAUGGUUUCGAAAAACCAUCUGCUAUUCAACAACGGGCAAUUGUACCAUGUGUAAAAGGUUUUGAUGUUAUCGCUCAAGCCCAGUCAGGUACUGGAAAAACAGCAACAUUCUCUAUUUCUAUACUGCAGCAAAUUGAUACAAAUCUGAGUGAAUGCCAAGCAUUGAUUCUCGCUCCAACUCGUGAGUUGGCUCAGCAGAUCCAAAAAGUGGUAAUUGCUCUUGGAGAUUUUAUGCAUGCUCAAUGCCAUGCAUGUAUUGGAGGAACAAAUGUUCGUGAAGAUAUCCGGAAACUUGAGCAAGGAGCUCAUGUGGUAGUCGGAACACCAGGAAGAGUUUAUGACAUGAUAAGUCGACGUGCACUUCGUACAAAUAACAUAAAACUAUUUGUACUCGAUGAAGCUGAUGAGAUGUUAUCCCGUGGUUUCAAGGAUCAAAUUCACGAUGUUUUCAGGCUACUUCCCCAUGAAGUACAGGUUAUUCUAUUAUCUGCAACAAUGCCCACUGACGUAUUAGAAGUUUCUAAAUGCUUUAUGCGUCAACCAAUUAGAAUUUUGGUGAAAAAAGAAGAAUUAACGUUGGAAGGUAUCAAACAAUUUUAUGUCUUCGUUGAACGUGAAGAUUGGAAAUUCGACACUCUGUGUGAUUUGUAUGAUACUUUGAGUAUUACUCAGGCUGUAAUUUUCUGUAAUACACGUCGCAAGGUUGAUUGGUUGACAGAAAAUAUGCAACGCCGUGAUUUUACCGUUUCGGCAAUGCAUGGAGAUAUGGAUCAAAAAGAACGUGAUCUAAUUAUGAGACAAUUUCGCACAGGGUCUUCUCGUGUCCUUAUUACGACUGACCUUUUAGCACGUGGUAUUGAUGUACAACAAGUAUCACUUGUUAUUAAUUAUGAUCUUCCUUCCAACCGAGAAAAUUAUAUCCAUAGAAUUGGUCGUGGAGGUCGGUUUGGACGUAAAGGAGUAGCCAUCAACUUUAUUACCACGGAUGACAAACGAAUCAUGAGUGAUAUAGAAGCGUAUUACCACACUCAUAUUGAUGAGAUGCCAUUAAAUGUUGCUGAUUUGAUCUAAAUCUGGCUGUUGGCUGUAUUUCAUUAUAAUAAAAGCAAAAAAAUAAUAAAACGAAUUUUUCGGCAGUUCACACUAAUUGUGAGAGGGAAGACAUUUUGUUGGAAGUAGAGACAAAGUUUCCUCUAAAAUAUCAAAGUAUUUUCGUAUUAAUCGAUUGUUAAUUAUUGUUUCACAUGAUUGCUAGAAAAUUCAUUUUAUCAGUUCACA
This 1679-nucleotide unclassified non-coding RNA is filed under the name Chelonus insularis. RNAcentral describes it as "eukaryotic initiation factor 4A-I, transcript variant X1". The record is from RNAcentral. Lineage: Eukaryota; Metazoa; Arthropoda; Insecta; Hymenoptera; Braconidae.